AGAAGCAGCUGAGUGUCUCCUGAUACCCGGAUGUGAGGCGAUCCGCUGGCUCUAGUCUGACCCUCCGCCAGGCAAAAGGAAGGAAUCCUGAGAGUCCCCAUAUCACAUUUUGAGCACUACUGCUUUAAG
Molecule: small RNA, 129 nt
Filed under: Pongo abelii (Sumatran orangutan)
Lineage: Eukaryota; Metazoa; Chordata; Mammalia; Primates; Hominidae
Description: processed transcript
Source: RNAcentral